RNAcentral lists this ribosomal RNA (468 nucleotides) under uncultured bacterium. RNAcentral's name for it is "partial 16S ribosomal RNA". It matches the Rfam family "Bacterial small subunit ribosomal RNA", at positions 28 to 507 of the family's 1533-position model. The record is from RNAcentral.
GACGAACGCUGGCGGCGUGCUUAACACAUGCAAGUCGAACGGAAAGGCCCUGCUUUUGUGGGGUGCUCGAGUGGCGAACGGGUGAGUAAUACGUGAGUAACCUGCCCUUGACUUUGGGAUAACUUCAGGAAACUGGGGCUAAUACCGGAUAGGAGCUCCUGCUGCAUGGUGGGGGUUGGAAAGUUUCGGCGGUUGGGGAUGGACUCGCGGCUUAUCAGCUUGUUGGUGGGGUAGUGGCUUACCAAGGCUUUGACGGGUAGCCGGCCUGAGAGGGUGACCGGCCACAUUGGGACUGAGAUACGGCCCAGACUCCUACGGGAGGCAACAGUGGGGAAUAUUGCACAAUGGGCGGAAGCCUGAUGCAGCAACGCCGCGUGCGGGAUGACGGCCUUCGGGUUGUAAACCGCUUUCGCCUGUGACGAAGCGUGAGUGACGGUAAUGGGUAAAGAAGCACCGGCUAACUACGUG